CCUAAGCCGAGGCCGAAAGGCGUAGGUGAUGGACAACUGGUUGAUAUUCCAGUACCACCAUAAUGCGUUUGACAAAUGGGAUGACGCAGGAGGAUAGGAUGUGCGCACUAUUGGAUGUGCGUCUAAGCACUUAGGGUGUUAAGUAGGCAAAUCCGCUUAACAUUAAGCCUGAGGUGUGAUGGGGAGCCUAUUUUGGCGAAGUAUCUGAUUCCACGCUGCCAAGAAAAGUCUCUAUGGAGCAAAAUGGUGCCCGUACCGCAAACCGACACAGGUAGAUGAGGAGAGAAUCCUAAGGUCGUCGGAAGAAUUAUUGCUAAGGAACUCGGCAAAUUGACCCCGUAACUUAGGGAGAAGGGGUGCCUACGAGAGUAGGCCGCAGUGAAUAGGCUCAAGCAACUGUUUAUCAAAAACACAGGUCUCUGCUAAAGCGUAAGCUGAUGUAUAGGGGCUGACGCCUGCCCGGUGCUGGAAGGUUAAGGGGAAUAGUUAGCGCAAGCGAAGCUAUGAACUUAAGCCCCAGUAAACGGCGGCCGUAACUAUAACGGUCCUAAGGUAGCGAAAUUCCUUGUCGGGUAAGUUCCGACCCGCACGAAUGGCGUAAUGAUUUGAGCACUGUCUCGGCAAUAAAUCCGGUGAAAUUGUAGUGCAAGUGAAGAUGCUUGCUACCCGCGGUUGGACGGAAAGACCCCGUAGAGCUUUACUGUAGCUUAGCAUUGAAUUUCGGUAUUGUCUGUACAGGAUAGGUGGGAGACUUAGAAGCGAGGGCGUCAGCUUUCGUGGAGUCGUCCUUGGGAUACCACCCUGACAGUACUGGAAUUCUAACUGGAGGCCAUGAAUCUGGUCACAGGACAUUGCUAGGUGGGCAGUUUGACUGGGGCGG
RNAcentral lists this ribosomal RNA (880 nucleotides) under Clostridium botulinum C/D. Its description in RNAcentral is "partial 23S ribosomal RNA". It matches the Rfam family "Bacterial large subunit ribosomal RNA", at positions 1390 to 2282 of the family's 2925-position model. Lineage: Bacteria; Bacillati; Bacillota; Clostridia; Eubacteriales; Clostridiaceae. The record is from RNAcentral.